RNAcentral lists this ribosomal RNA (462 nucleotides) under uncultured bacterium. RNAcentral describes it as "partial 16S ribosomal RNA". It matches the Rfam family "Bacterial small subunit ribosomal RNA", at positions 338 to 795 of the family's 1533-position model. The record is from RNAcentral.
CCUACGGGCGGCAGCAGUGAGGAAUAUUGGUCAAUGGACGCAAGUCUGAACCAGCCAAGUAGCGUGCAGGAAGAAGGCCCUCCGGGUGGUAAAUUGCUUCUAGUUGGGAAUAAAAGGGGGCUCGUGAGCCCUGUAUGGUAUGUACUAACAGAAAAAGGACCGGCUAAUACCGUGCCAGCAGCCGCGGUAAUACGGAAGGUGCGGGGGUUAUCCGGAUUUAUAGGGGGUAAGGGGGGCGUAGGCCGGCUUUUAAGUCAGCUGUGAAAGACCGCGGCUCAACCGGGGAAUUGCAGUUGAUACUGGAGGCCUAGAGUACACACAGGAAUGCCAGAAUUCAUGGUGUAGCGGUGAAAUGCUUAGAGAUCAUGAGGAACACCGAACGCGAAGGCAAGUGUCCGGGGAUCAACUGACGCUGAGGCUCGAAAGUGCGGGUAUCAAACAGGAUUAGAUACCCGAGUAGUC